Molecule: ribosomal RNA, 164 nt
Filed under: uncultured Pseudoramibacter sp.
Lineage: Bacteria; Bacillati; Bacillota; Clostridia; Eubacteriales; Eubacteriaceae
Description: partial 16S ribosomal RNA
Rfam family: Bacterial small subunit ribosomal RNA
Source: RNAcentral
CCGGUGACGUGCAUUUGAAACUGUAAGACUUGAGUACUGAAGAGGCAAGCGGAAUUCCUAGUGUAGCGGUGAAAUGCGUAGAUAUUAGGAAGAACACCGGUGGCGAAGGCGGCUUGCUGGGCAGAUACUGACGCUGAGGUGCGAAAGCGUGGGGAGCGAACAGG